GUUCUACUCAUGUCUCGAUCUCUCGGAGGCCUGGGGUGGUUACACUGGCUGUCUGCUGUGAGCCCCUGAUGAUAACUAAAGGCCAUUUGGGCCGUCAGGAUCGAAUCCAACGGUGCCUGCUGCUCAUGCCAUCUCCCCCCUCCAUCCUCUCGCUAGAGUUACGGCAAGGCAACGCGGCGGCGCUCCGCCUCCCUCCCGCUCCGCGCGCCGCCACCUCCCAUGGCGUCGCUGCUCCGCCUCCAGGCCUUCGCUCCAGCCCUAAACGUCCCCCACCACCGUUGCUUCCUCUCCCCGCUCCACCUCGCCUCCGCGGCCGCGGCUCCGCUCGCUCGCCGCCUCCACCAGCUCGCCGGAGCCGCCAUCCUCGGAACCGAAUCUAGAGUCAGGUCUGUACCUUGUCGCAACGCCAAUUGGAAACCUUGAAGAUAUCACCCUGCGGGCACUGCGUGUCCUUAAAUGUGCUAAUGUGAUAUUAUCUGAAGACACAAGGCAUUCUGGAAAGCUGCUUCAGCACUAUAACAUCAAAACACCUCUUCUUAGCUUCCAUAAGUUCAAUGAGCGUGAGAGAGAGCCCAGUAUCUUAAGGAGGCUUCACGAAGGUGAAGCAGUUGCAUUGAUAAGUGAUGCCGGUACUCCAGGCAUUAGUGACCCUGGCAUGGAAUUGGCUAGACUAUGUGCAGCUGAGAAAAUUCCUGUCGUUCCCAUUCCUGGGCCUUCUGCUGCAAUUGCUGCUCUUUCUGCGUCGGGUUUGCCAUCUAAUGAAUUCACAUUUGUUGGGUUUUUACCAAAGCAUGCUCGGUCAAGAAGAGAUAGGCUUGAGAUAUCUGCCUGUGAAGCUGCUACACAAAUAUUCUAUGUUCCUCCCCAUGGCAUUCAUCAAUUUCUUGUUGAUGCUGCUGCAUCUUUUGGCGAUUCAAGGUCAUGUGUUAUUGCAAGGGAGAUAACAAAAUUACAUGAAGAGUUCUGGCGUGGAACUCUAGGUGAAGCAAAUGAGGCCUUUGCAACUCGACAGCCUAAGGGAGAAAUCACAGUGCUCAUAGAGGGGCAGUUAAUUUCAGUUGAUGAAACUCCAUCAGAGGAUUUCCUUGAGCAUGAACUAAGAGAAUUGAUGGCAAAGGGACAUACCCUUUCAGCAGCGGUGAAAUUGGUCACUGAAGCUACAUCAGCAAAGAAGAAAGAUGUUUAUGCUCUUGCAUUGAGGUUGUUUGGAAAAUGAGUGAAGUGCAACUUUUGAUCGUAUCUGAAUGAGGUGGACAGCAUUUUUCCUCUUACCAAAGCCAGAGGUGGUGUCCAUGUAACUCCGUCCUUCCAGAAGCCAUCUUUCAUCCUCAACACUGUAAAAGAGUGAGAGUGACCAUGAACUGUCAGACCCUGUGCAGCUGCAACGAACUUAGUCUGGCUUGCAUGUCACGUCUUGUGCAAAGCCGCAGGUUCACCACUGCUGGAACACCCCAACACCAUCGUCCCAUAAACACUGUGACUAGCUGUAAGAAUGAAUACAUGCCAUGAUUGUCAGCUAGGCUAGGUUUGUUUAGUUGUUAGAACGAAUUCAUGCCAUGAUUGUCAGCUAGGUUAGGUUUCACACUUUUACUGCUGUGGUUCUCAGGUAAAAGGUUCCAUUCAUUUGGCUGUACUGUAUUGGUCGUGGACAUGGCAUUCUCAGCCUGAUGGUUCAACUCACCCAAUCGUUAAUGAGAUGUAUAGACUUUUCUAUCUGAACAUAAGAACAUUAAUUGGUAGUUAGCCCUAAA
Molecule: RNA transcript, 1751 nt
Organism: Panicum virgatum (switchgrass)
Lineage: Eukaryota; Viridiplantae; Streptophyta; Magnoliopsida; Poales; Poaceae
Gene name: ribosomal RNA small subunit methyltransferase I-like
Exons: 10
Source: RefSeq, a predicted model, not a curated record